Cavia porcellus (domestic guinea pig) is the source of this 523-nucleotide long non-coding RNA. RefSeq lists it as uncharacterized. The record is from RefSeq and is a predicted model, not a curated record. The transcript has 2 exons. Lineage: Eukaryota; Metazoa; Chordata; Mammalia; Rodentia; Caviidae.
UCUGCUUCCGGAGCUGCCCUGAGCUUUUGUUGUUCCUGCGUUCCCUCCCGAGCUGGCAAAACUUUUUAUCCUCAAACACGUUUUGACUCCCACGAAAGGAAGAUCUGGCUAUGAUUAGAUGCUGGCGGCUUCUUCACCCUGUAAAGAAGUCCCAGUGUUGAUCCUGUUCAUUUACAUACGCAUCGAUAAACAACAGCAGAACCCCGAAAACGCUCCUGCCUUGGGGUGCUGUAUAAUUUAUUAGGGGCAUCUAUAAUUUAUCUGACGUCUCCAAGCCAGAUCUUUGUUUCGGCAAAAUCGUGACCGGGCAAGUUGGCGCGAAAACCCCCAAGUGACUGACUUUGCUUCUGGACUGACUGGACUGCUUCUGAGUGUUGCUCUCGAAGGAGCCUGGAGGAAACUUACUGUGACACACUUGGCAAUAAGUGUAUCAGUUUCUUUAUUUUUGUGUAGGAGAUGAUUUAAGAGAAAGCACAUCAAUCAACCUCAGUUAUUUAUAAAUAAAAUUAGCUUCAAGCUGCCA